GGGGGUGGAUGUGCCCCGGUGGGUGCCCCGGUCUUCAAAAUCGGUGGGUGGCCGCGAGCAGCGGGCAUCGGUGGGUUCGACUCCCAUCCACUCCCGC
RNAcentral lists this transfer RNA (97 nucleotides) under Anaerolineae bacterium. Its description in RNAcentral is "tRNA-Sec". It matches the Rfam family "Selenocysteine transfer RNA". Lineage: Bacteria; Bacillati; Chloroflexota; Anaerolineae. The record is from RNAcentral. RNAcentral also lists the same sequence under 1 other name.